This is a long non-coding RNA of Leptopilina boulardi, 1122 nucleotides long. RefSeq lists it as uncharacterized. The record is from RefSeq and is a predicted model, not a curated record. NCBI's taxonomy places the organism in Eukaryota, Metazoa, Arthropoda, Insecta, Hymenoptera, Figitidae. The transcript is spliced from 3 exons.
AAACAUUUAAAAUUAUUAUAGAAAUUAAGGAUAAAGGGUUGGCCACAACAUGAUUGUCUGCACAAGCGUCAAUUAGAUUGAGAGAUGCAGACAAUUUGUGACAAAUUUCAGUUUACAGUGCAAAGGUGUAAAUGUAACAUAAUACUAAUUCAAUAACGCUAUCAUUCUAUAUUUUUAUUAGUGAAACCGUGAUUGGAGAUAUAAUAACUGUCAGUAAUAUUCUAUUUUGCUGUAGUUAUAUAUCUAUAAAUAAUGGAAUUUGAUAUAAAUUAAAUUGUACAAUUGGUACAAGAAAAUUCGUGUAUUUAUGAAAACAGUUCUGAUCGUUUUGUAGAUAAUUUAAGAAAAAAGAAUGCGUGGAUAAGAAUUACUAAAGAAUUUGAAAACAUAACUGGAUACCCUAUGGAGAGUGCGUAUUUUGUUACUACUUUCAUGAAUGAAAUUAAUGAUCAAAAAAUGUUUUUAGAAAGCAAACAUAAUUUAAAAAAACAUAACCUUUACAAUACAAUAACAUGAAGAGGAGAAAUAUUUCAAAUUUUUUAUUUUUUAGAAAAAGACAUCAUAAACACUUGGAAAAAUUUUAAAAAAAGUAUGUUCAAGAGCACAAAAAAGUUGUAACUUACAAAUCAUCAGGUUCAGCUGCAUCGACAAUUACAAGCGAUUGGCCUUACAAUUCGUUAAUGGAUUUUUUGAAAAAAUAUGUUGACCGCAGAAGAACAAGGAGCAAUAUCAAAUAUCCAACCCAAGAAACUAUAAAUGCAGAUGAAACUGAAUAUAUAAGCAGCGAUGAUUCUGACAAUGCUGUUAUGGACUUAAAUUAAAGUAAUAAUGUCAUUCGAGAAAUAUUAAUGUUAAUCGAGAAAACGAUUUUCUUAUUUGAUAUUUCCUAAUUGUAAUUUUUUAUUCUUACUAGGGUAACGGCACCAGUGAAAGAACAUUUAAGGAAAUACAUACUUUUAUCAUUUAUUAUUUUUGAAUGCAGUUAUUGAAAAUUUUUUUACCAAUUUUUUUCGAUAGCUAAUUAAGUGUAGAAUGCGAAGGUCAUAUUUAAUUUUCAUAAAUAUAAGAUGUUAAUUAAAAUUUUAAUUAAUAAGUAAAACAUACCUAUUUCACCAGUGAAAG